GUUCAAAUGAUAAAUCACAACGAGGUAGUAGUCGUAGGUUCGGAUGCACUAAGGUUACUGCCAAGUUAGUGCAAAGAUAUAACAGGCAAGAACAUGAUGUACUCCAGAAAAAAUGUCUGAUUGUUGCUCGCCAAACUUUUUGCUCUCAUGGUAGUAAAUACUCCAUUUGUUUUAACUACAUACCUUUUGUAGCAUGUGAGAAAGGGAAGAAGCUGCUAAAUGA
This 223-nucleotide unclassified non-coding RNA is filed under the name Hevea brasiliensis (rubber tree). Lineage: Eukaryota; Viridiplantae; Streptophyta; Magnoliopsida; Malpighiales; Euphorbiaceae. The record is from RNAcentral.